GAUGAACGCUGGCGGCGUGCUUAACACAUGCAAGUCGAACGAUGAAGCCCAGCUCGCUGGGUGGAUUAGUGGCGAACGGGUGAGUAACACGUGAGUAACCUGCCCUUAACUCUGGGAUAAGCCUGGGAAACUGGGUCUAAUACCGGAUAGGAGCGCCUACCGCAUGGUGGGUGUUGGAAAGAUUUAUCGGUUUUGGAUGGACUCGCGGCCUAUCAGCUUGUUGGUGAGGUAAUGGCUCACCAAGGCGACGACGGGUAGCCGGCCUGAGAGGGUGACCGGCCACACUGGGACUGAGACACGGCCCAGACUCCUACGGGAGGCAGCAGUGGGGAAUAUUGCACAAUGGGCGAAAGCCUGAUGCAGCGACGCCGCGUGAGGGAUGACGGCCUUCGGGUUGUAAACCUCUUUCAGUAGGGAAGAAGCGAAAGUGACGGUACCUGCAGAAGAAGCACCGGCUAACUACGUG
RNAcentral lists this ribosomal RNA (466 nucleotides) under uncultured bacterium. Its description in RNAcentral is "partial 16S ribosomal RNA". It matches the Rfam family "Bacterial small subunit ribosomal RNA", at positions 28 to 507 of the family's 1533-position model. The record is from RNAcentral.